CACGACUAAAAUUAUUGGUCGGCGAUGAUUGUCACGGUGUAUUGGAACAACCCCCAAUUUCACAGUCUAAACUAUUAUUUCUAAUUCAGAGAGAGAAAGAGCGCGUGGAAAAAUAGUGCAAAUUUUUUUCUUGGCCAAAUACAUAGGCAGCCACCUUAACUUGUCAUGAUUGUUCAUUUAGACACCUCAACUAAAAAUGUUUCCUAUUAGACACUCAAAAGUGCCAUCAAAGUUAAUCUAUUGGACACAAAAUGCUAACGUGGCAAAUGUAGUGCUAUUCACCCACAUCUGAGCGCGUAAGCUAAUGUGGAUCUGUUGACCUAACUUUCUUUUACGGUUUAUUUCAUCCCUCAUCUUCAUCUUCUUAAACAAAAAUAUUACUGUUGCCAAACUCGUUCCUCUUCCAUUUUGCGCCCCUUUUUUCUUCAGCAAGUUACUACCUUUUGAUCAAGCCAAUGUAUUUCAUCCCAAAGAAUUUCUAAAUACAGAAGGGAGUAUUUUCACGUUUGUCUUUUCUCAUUUGCUAUGUACUUUUGCCUGUUCUUCACUUGAAA
Molecule: long non-coding RNA, 554 nt
Filed under: Nicotiana benthamiana
Lineage: Eukaryota; Viridiplantae; Streptophyta; Magnoliopsida; Solanales; Solanaceae
Description: long non-coding RNA (NBEN_LNC011037)
Source: RNAcentral